Molecule: ribosomal RNA, 253 nt
Filed under: uncultured bacterium
Lineage: Bacteria
Description: partial 16S ribosomal RNA
Rfam family: Bacterial small subunit ribosomal RNA
Source: RNAcentral
UACGUAGGCAGCGAGCGUUGUUCGGAUUUACUGGGCGUAAAGGGUGCGUAGGCGGUUGUUUAAGUUUGGUGUGAAAUCUCCCGGCUCAACUGGGAGGGUGCGCCGAAUACUGAAUGACUAGAGUGCGGGAGAGGAUAGUGGAAUUCCUGGUGUAGCGGUGAAAUGCGUAGAUAUCAGGAGGAACACCGGUGGUGUAGACGGCUAUCUGGACCGUAACUGACGCUGAGGCACGAAAGCGUGGGUAGCAAACAGG